This 366-nucleotide ribosomal RNA is filed under the name Triticum aestivum (bread wheat). RNAcentral describes it as "partial small subunit ribosomal RNA". The record is from RNAcentral. Lineage: Eukaryota; Viridiplantae; Streptophyta; Magnoliopsida; Poales; Poaceae.
AUGUCCACCUUGUCGCUGGAGACCAGCUCGUCGACCUACUCUAACAUGGAAAUGAUAUGUGCCAAGAAUCUGGUGUUCUGCAAGUGUCAGCUGUAUCAAACCUGGAGGAAUGAAGCCAACACAGUUACUUUGCAGCUCCAAGGAUGCGGUCGACGCCGUAUGGCACAGGAUGAAAUAUUUGCUCUGAGGUAUGAUCCCCGGCGCCAGCCAUGUUGGGACGUUGUUGCCGACUUGGGUGGAUACUCAGUGUUUGUUGGUAGGAACAAUUUGGUGUUGCUGUAUGCCGAAGGUGUUCCGGACUCCAGGGUAAUUGUGUGUACUGCAUCUGUGGGAGAGGUAGGAAUGAAGGCAUGGUCUUUGGCAUGA